RNAcentral lists this small RNA (897 nucleotides) under Pan troglodytes (chimpanzee). RNAcentral describes it as "processed transcript". The record is from RNAcentral. Lineage: Eukaryota; Metazoa; Chordata; Mammalia; Primates; Hominidae.
CGGGCGCGCGCCGCUGGGAGGGCGGGGUGGGUGGCUGGAGGUGCUGGAGAAUCUGGUAAAAGCACCAUUGUGAAGCAGAUGAGGAUCCUGCAUGUUAAUGGGUUUAAUGGAGACAGUGAGAAGGCAACCAAAGUGCAGGACAUCAAAAACAACCUGAAAGAGGCGAUUGAAACCAUUGUGGCCGCCAUGAGCAACCUGGUGCCCCCCGUGGAGCUGGCCAACCCCGAGAACCAGUUCAGAGUGGACUACAUUCUGAGUGUGAUGAACGUGCCUGACUUUGACUUCCCUCCCGAAUUCUAUGAGCAUGCCAAGGCUCUGUGGGAGGAUGAAGGAGUGCGUGCCUGCUAUGAACGCUCCAACGAGUACCAGCUGAUUGACUGUGCCCAGUACUUCCUGGACAAGAUCGACGUGAUCAAGCAGGCUGACUACGUGCCGAGCGAUCAGGACCUGCUUCGCUGCCGUGUCCUGACUUCUGGAAUCUUUGAGACCAAGUUCCAGGUGGACAAAGUCAACUUCCACAUGUUUGACGUGGGUGGCCAGCGCGAUGAACGCCGCAAGUGGAUCCAGUGCUUCAACGAUGUGACUGCCAUCAUCUUCGUGGUGGCCAGCAGCAGCUACAACAUGGUCAUCCGGGAGGACAACCAGACCAACCGCCUGCAGGAGGCUCUGAACCUCUUCAAGAGCAUCUGGAACAACAGAUGGCUGCGCACCAUCUCUGUGAUUCUGUUCCUCAACAAGCAAGAUCUGCUCGCUGAGAAAGUCCUUGCUGGGAAAUCGAAGAUUGAGGACUACUUUCCAGAAUUUGCUCGCUACACUACUCCUGAGGAUGCUACUCCCGAGCCCGGAGAGGACCCACGCGUGACCCGGGCCAAGUACUUCAUUCGAGAUGAGUUUCUG